AAAGCUUUCAUGGUGUAACCAAAG
Molecule: non-coding RNA, 24 nt
Filed under: Arabidopsis thaliana (thale cress)
Lineage: Eukaryota; Viridiplantae; Streptophyta; Magnoliopsida; Brassicales; Brassicaceae
Source: RNAcentral